Molecule: ribosomal RNA, 392 nt
Filed under: Odontotermes obesus
Lineage: Eukaryota; Metazoa; Arthropoda; Insecta; Blattodea; Termitidae
Description: partial large subunit ribosomal RNA
Source: RNAcentral
CGCCUGUUUAUCAAAAACAUCUUUUCUUGUUAGUUUCUGAAGUAUGGCCUGCCCGCUGACGUUAUAUUAAGUUGAAGGGCCGCGGUAUUUUGACCGUGCAAAGGUAGCAUAGUCAUUAGUUCUUUAAUUGUGAUCUGGUAUGAAUGGCUUGACGAGACAUGGGCUGUCUUAAGGUGUGGAAUUUGUUGUUGAAUUUUGAGUUUGAGUUAAAAUUCUUAGAUGUUUUUAUGGGACGAGAAGACCCUAUAGAGUUUGACAUUUGAUUGCGUAUAUCUUGUUGUUUGUUUUAAAUUUUUGCGUGUCUCUUGUUUUGUUGGGGUGAUGGGAGGAAUUUAUUUAACUCCUCUUUUUGUGUAGUAUAUUGAUUUAUAUGUAUGUUGAUCCAUUUAUUU